GCGCGCGUAGCUCAGCGGAGAGAGCGGCUGCGUCCGAAGCAGCAGGCCGGGGGUUCGAACCCCUCCGCGCGCACCC
Molecule: transfer RNA, 76 nt
Filed under: Cellulomonas cellasea DSM 20118
Lineage: Bacteria; Bacillati; Actinomycetota; Actinomycetes; Micrococcales; Cellulomonadaceae
Description: tRNA-Arg
Rfam family: tRNA
About the family: Transfer RNA (tRNA) molecules are approximately 80 nucleotides in length. Their secondary structure includes four short double-helical elements and three loops (D, anti-codon, and T loops).
Source: RNAcentral